This 810-nucleotide ribosomal RNA is filed under the name uncultured microorganism. RNAcentral describes it as "bacterial SSU rRNA". It matches the Rfam family "Bacterial small subunit ribosomal RNA", at positions 62 to 882 of the family's 1533-position model. The record is from RNAcentral.
UCGAACGAGAUCCAAGGAAGCUUGCUUCCUGAAAAUCUAGUGGCGAACGGGUGAGUAACACGUGAGGAAUCUGCCCCGAACUUAGGAAUAGCCAAAGGAAACUCUGGCUAAUACCUGAUACCCUCUUUCGGCCGCAUGGCCGAUUGCGGAAAGUUUUUCGGUUCGGGAGGACCCCGCGGCCUAUCAGGUAGUUGGCGGGGUAACGGCCCACCAAGCCUACGACGGGUAGCUGGUUUGAGAGAACGAUCAGCCACACUGGAACUGAGACACGGUCCAGACUCCUACGGGAGGCAGCAGUGGGGAAUCUUGCGCAAUGGGCGAAAGCCUGACGCAGCAACGCCGCGUGCGGGAGGAAGGCCUUCGGGUUGUAAACCGCUUUCAGCAGGGACGAAAAUGACGGUACCUGCAGAAGAAGCCCCGGCUAACUACGUGCCAGCAGCCGCGGUAAUACGUAGGGGGCAAGCGUUGUCCGGAUUUAUUGGGCGUAAAGAGCUCGUAGGCGGUUCCGUAAGUUGGGAGUUAAAUCUCUGGGCUCAACCCAGAGUCGCUCCCAAUACUGCGGUGACUCGAGUCCGGUAGGGGAGAUUGGAAUUCCUGGUGUAGCGGUGGAAUGCGCAGAUAUCAGGAGGAACACCAACAGCGAAGGCAGAUCUCUGGGCCGGUACUGACGCUGAGGAGCGAAAGCGUGGGGAGCGAACAGGAUUAGAUACCCUGGUAGUCCACGCCGUAGACGAUGGGCACUAUGUGUGGGAGGUGUCGACUCCUCCCGUGCCGGCGCUAACGCAUUAAGUGCCCCGCCCUGGGGGAGUA